GACGAACGCUGGCGGCGUGCUUAACACAUGCAAGUCGAACGGAAAGGCACUGCUUUUGUGGGGUGCUCGAGUGGCGAAGGGGUGAGUAACCCGUGAGUAACCUGCCCUUGUCUUUGGGAUAACUCAAGGGAACUGGGGGUAAUACCGGAUAGGAGCUACUGCUGCAUGGGGGGGGUCGGAAAGUUUCGGCGGUUGGGGAUGGACUCGCGGCUUAUCAGCUUGUUGGGGGGGUAGUGGCUUACCAAGGUUUUGUCGGGUAGCCGGCCUGAGUGGGUGACCGGCCACAUUGGGACUGAGAUACGGCCCAGACUCCUACGGGAGGCAGCAGUGGAGAAUAUUGCACAAUGGGCGGAAGCCGGAUGCAGCAGCGCCGCGAGCGGGAUGACGGCCUUCGGGUUGUAAACCGCUUGCGCCUGUGACGAAGCGUGAGUGACGGUAAUGGGUAAAGAAGCACCGGCUAACUACGUG
RNAcentral lists this ribosomal RNA (468 nucleotides) under uncultured bacterium. RNAcentral's name for it is "partial 16S ribosomal RNA". It matches the Rfam family "Bacterial small subunit ribosomal RNA", at positions 28 to 507 of the family's 1533-position model. The record is from RNAcentral.